This 754-nucleotide ribosomal RNA is filed under the name uncultured bacterium. RNAcentral describes it as "bacterial SSU rRNA". It matches the Rfam family "Bacterial small subunit ribosomal RNA", at positions 172 to 916 of the family's 1533-position model. The record is from RNAcentral.
CAUAAGACCACAGGGAUGCAUAUCCUAGGGGUCAAAGCUCCGCAAGGGGCGCUUGAGGAGGAGCCCGAGUCCUAUCAUGGUAGUUGGCGGGGUAACGGCCCACCAAGCCGUUGACGGGUAGCCGGCCUGAAAGGGCAAACGGCCACACUGGCACUGAGACACGGGCCAGACUCCUACGGGAGGCAGCAGUGGGGAAUUUUGGACAAUGGGGGCAACCCUGAUCCAGCGACGCCGCGUGGAGGAUGAAGGUCUUCGGAUUGUAAACUCCUUUUGAAGGGGAUGAGUGGCCUGGUGAAUAGCCAGGUAUGACAGUACUCUUCGAAUAAGCCACGGCUAACUACGUGCCAGCAGCCGCGGUAAUACGUAGGUGGCAAGCGUUACUCGGAAUCACUAGGCGUAAAGCGCAGGUAGGAGGUUUGAUAAGUCUGUUGUGAAAGCUCCCGGCUUAACUGGGAGAGGCCAACGGAAACUGUCAGGCUAGAGUGUGGUAGAGGAAGAUGGAAUUCCCGGUGUAGCGGUGACAUGCGUAGAUAUCGGGAGGAAUACCUAUGGCGAAAGCAGUCUUCUGGACCAUCACUGACUCUGAUCUGCGAAAGCUAGGGGAGCAAACAGGAUUAGAUACCCUGGUAGUCCUAGCCCUAAACGAUGCUCAUUAGGUGUGGGAGGUAUCGACCCCUUCCGCGCCGUAGCUAACGCAUUAAAUGAGCCGCCUGGGGAGUACGGCCGCAAGGUUGAAACUCAAAGGAAUUGACGG